This 406-nucleotide ribosomal RNA is filed under the name uncultured bacterium. Its description in RNAcentral is "partial 16S ribosomal RNA". It matches the Rfam family "Bacterial small subunit ribosomal RNA", at positions 29 to 526 of the family's 1533-position model. The record is from RNAcentral.
AUUGAACGCUGGCGGCAGGCCUAACACAUGCAAGUCGAACGAGUGGCGGACGGGUGAGUAAUGUCUGGGAAACUGCCUGAUGGAGGGGGAUAACUACUGGAAACGGUAGCUAAUACCGCAUACCAUCAGAUGUGCCCAGAUGGGAUUAGCUUGUUGGUGGGGUAACGGCUCACCAAGGCGACGAUCCCUAGCUGGUCUGAGAGGAUGACCAGCCAAACUGGAACAGAGACACGGCCAAGACCCCUAAGGGAGGCAGCAGGGGGGAAUAUGGCACAAUGGGGGAAAGCCUGAUGCAGCCAUGCCGCGUGUAUGAAGAAGGCCUUCGGGUUGUAAAGUACGUUCAGCGGGGAGGCGGUACCCGAAGAAGAAGCACCGGCUAACUAAGUGCCAGCAGCCGCGGUAAUAC